UUACUACUGUCUCCGUUCUAAAAUUCUUGUCUUAAAUUUGUCUAGAAAUGAAUGUAUCUAGUCACGUUUUAGUNNUUAGAUACAUUCAUUUUUAGACAAACUUAAGACAAAAAUUAUGAAACGGAGGGAGUACCUU
Non-coding RNA from Hordeum vulgare subsp. vulgare (domesticated barley), 136 nucleotides. The record is from Rfam. Lineage: Eukaryota; Viridiplantae; Streptophyta; Magnoliopsida; Poales; Poaceae.